Molecule: long non-coding RNA, 765 nt
Filed under: Parus major (Great Tit)
Lineage: Eukaryota; Metazoa; Chordata; Aves; Passeriformes; Paridae
Description: lncRNA (ENSPMJG00000000318.1)
Source: RNAcentral
UACUCAAGUGUAGUGCCUGUCUGAUUUCCAGCUGUAUUCUAAAAUCAUGAUAGCAAUACAUAUAAAUUAAUUCUAGUUGGAAAGUGGACCCACUACGAUUGCAUUCAGUUCUGCUUAAGAUAUCCUUCUAUAGUCUAUCAUAAAAUCUGCUGUAGUCAGUAAUGAGAAAAAUCUUUGCCUGACUCAUUGUUGUGUAGAAAGAUGGGUCUAAAGCAAAGAUAUGUAAUGAAGGACAACUAGGAUAAUCAUAAGUCUUUCAUCAGGAGUAAUUUGUAAUUUUUGUAAUAAAGUGAGACAAAUUUCCUCUGUAAUGUACCAAUGCAGUAUGUCUUUUUCAAGGUGUAUUGUGAGAGAGAACCAAAAUAUUGUGUGCUGGCUCAGGCUAACACUGAAUUAGCAGCAGCUACAGGAAAACUAGAAGUCAGCAGGAAAAAGUUUCUUGAAGCUAUAUGGCUGAGAGAUGCAGUUGCUCUGGUGGUUAGUGCCUGGUUUCCUACCUGUGAAAUGUUAGAGGAUGGUGAGAAGCUGAGUUCCUUAGAAAAGUUCAGUAGAUGGAAUGAAGUGUGCAGACUGGUGAGUACAGGAUGCCUUCCUGUCUUUGCUCUCUGGGCUCAUCCUUUUUGUCCACCUAAACAUGUACAACAUGGUCAACAGUGAAUAAAUUUCUCUGCAGAUUUUCAUCCCUGUUAAAUGAUCCUGAACUGCACUGUUGAAUGUUACAUUUAAAAUCAGCUCAGCUUCCUCAGCUGGAAACUUGCAUUAAUC